GGUACGGGUUGUGAGAGCAAGAGCCCGGAGAUGGAUUCUGAGACACGAAUCCAGGCCCUACGGGGUGCAGCAGGCGCGAAAACUUUACAAUGCUGGCAACAGCGAUAAGGGAACCUCGAGUGCCAGGUUACAAAUCUGGCUGUCGAGAUGCCUAAAAAGCAUUUCAUAGCAAGGGCCGGGCAAGACCGGUGCCAGCCGCCGCGGUAACACCGGCGGCUCGAGUGGUAACCGUUAUUAUUGGGUCUAAAGGGUCUGUAGCCGGCCGGAUAAGUCUCUUGAGAAAUCUGGCAGCUUAACUGUCAGGCUUUCAGGAGAUACUGUCUGGCUCGAGGCCGGGAGAGGUGAGAGGUACUUCAGGGGUAGGGGUGAAAUCUUGUAAUCCUUGAAGGACCACCAGUGGCGAAGGCGUCUCACCAGAACGGACCUGACGGCAAGGGACGAAAGCUAGGGGCACGAACCGGAUUAGAUACCCGGGUAGUCCUAGCCGUAAACGAUACUCGCUAGGUGUCGGCCACGGUGCGACCGUUGUCGGUGCCGUAGGGAAGCCGUGAAGCGA
RNAcentral lists this ribosomal RNA (556 nucleotides) under uncultured archaeon. RNAcentral describes it as "bacterial SSU rRNA". It matches the Rfam family "Archaeal small subunit ribosomal RNA", at positions 266 to 822 of the family's 1478-position model. The record is from RNAcentral.